This 253-nucleotide ribosomal RNA is filed under the name uncultured prokaryote. Its description in RNAcentral is "partial 16S ribosomal RNA". It matches the Rfam family "Bacterial small subunit ribosomal RNA", at positions 525 to 777 of the family's 1533-position model. The record is from RNAcentral.
ACAGAGGGGGCGAGCGUUAUUCGGAAUUAUUGGGCGUAAAGGGCUCGUAGGCGGUCUGAUAAGUCCUGUGUGAAAUCCCUUGGCUUAACCAAGGAACUGCGCCGGAUACUGUCGGACUAGAGGCCGGGAGAGGGAAGCGGAAUUCCGAGUGUAGCGGUGAAAUGCGUAGAUAUUCGGAGGAACACCGGUGGCGAAGGCGGCUUCCUGGACCGGUUCUGACGCUGAGGGGCGAAAGCUAGGGUAGCAAACAGGA